Molecule: ribosomal RNA, 274 nt
Filed under: uncultured bacterium
Lineage: Bacteria
Description: partial 16S ribosomal RNA
Rfam family: Bacterial small subunit ribosomal RNA
Source: RNAcentral
AUACUGAGGGUGCGAGCGUUAAUCGGAAUUACAGGGCGUAAAGCGCGCGUAGGCGGUAAGUUAAGUUGGAUGUGAAAUCCCUGGGCUCAACCCAGGAACUGCAUUCAAAACUGGCUCACUAGAGUAUGGUAGAGGCAAGUGGAAUUCCAGGUGUAGCGGUGAAAUGCGUAGAUAUCUGGAGGAACAUCAGUGGCGAAGGCGACUUGCUGGGCCAAUACUGACGCUGAGGUGCGAAAGCGUGGGUAGCAAACGGGAUUAGAAACCCCAGUAGUCC